This 540-nucleotide ribosomal RNA is filed under the name Streptococcus sp. W61. RNAcentral describes it as "bacterial SSU rRNA". It matches the Rfam family "Bacterial small subunit ribosomal RNA", at positions 1 to 524 of the family's 1533-position model. Lineage: Bacteria; Bacillati; Bacillota; Bacilli; Lactobacillales; Streptococcaceae. The record is from RNAcentral.
AGAGUUUCCAUCCUGGUCAGGAACGAACGCUGGCGCGUGCCUGAUACAUCCAGUAGAACGCUGAAGACUUUAGUCUUGCUAGAGUUGGAAGAGUUGCGAAACGGGUGAGUAACCCGUAGGUAACCUGCCUACUAGCGGGGGAUAACUAUUGGAAACGAUAGCUAAUCCCAGCAUAACAGUGUUUCAACACAUCUUAGAGUGCUUGAAACGAUGCAAUUGCAUCACUAGUAGAUGGACCUGCGUUGUAUUAGCUAGUUGGUGGGUAACGGCCUACCAAGGCGACGAUACAUAGCCGACCUGAGAGGGUGAUCGGCCACUACUGGGACUGAGACACGGCCCAGACUCUACAGGGAGGCAGCAGUAGGGAAUCUUCGGCAAUGGGGGCAACCCUGACCGAGCAACGCCGCGUGAGUGAAGAAGGUUUUCGGAUCGUAAAGCUCUGUUGUAAGAGAAGAACGUGUGUGAGAGUGGAAAGUUCACACAGUGACGGUUAAUUUACACAGAAAGGGACGGCUAAUACGUGCCAGCAGCCGCGGUAAU